ACCUUCUGGGAGCCAGCGGAGCCUUCACU
This 29-nucleotide non-coding RNA is filed under the name Homo sapiens (human). Lineage: Eukaryota; Metazoa; Chordata; Mammalia; Primates; Hominidae. The record is from RNAcentral.